RNAcentral lists this ribosomal RNA (1059 nucleotides) under Photobacterium sp. RNAcentral describes it as "bacterial SSU rRNA". It matches the Rfam family "Bacterial small subunit ribosomal RNA", at positions 401 to 1452 of the family's 1533-position model. Lineage: Bacteria; Pseudomonadati; Pseudomonadota; Gammaproteobacteria; Vibrionales; Vibrionaceae. The record is from RNAcentral.
GUGUAUGAAGAAGGCCUUCGGGUUGUAAAGUACUUUCAGUUGUGAGGAAGGCGUUGGAGUUAAUAGCUUCAGCGCUUGACGUUAGCAACAGAAGAAGCACCGGCUAACUCCGUGCCAGCAGCCGCGGUAAUACGGAGGGUGCGAGCGUUAAUCGGAAUUACUGGGCGUAAAGCGCAUGCAGGCGGUCUGUUAAGCAAGAUGUGAAAGCCCGGGGCUCAACCUCGGAACAGCAUUUUGAACUGGCAGACUAGAGUCUUGUAGAGGGGGGUAGAAUUUCAGGUGUAGCGGUGAAAUGCGUAGAGAUCUGAAGGAAUACCGGUGGCGAAGGCGGCCCCCUGGACAAAGACUGACGCUCAGAUGCGAAAGCGUGGGGAGCAAACAGGAUUAGAUACCCUGGUAGUCCACGCCGUAAACGAUGUCUACUUGAAGGUUGUGGCCUUGAGCCGUGGCUUUCGGAGCUAACGCGUUAAGUAGACCGCCUGGGGAGUACGGUCGCAAGAUUAAAACUCAAAUGAAUUGACGGGGGCCCGCACAAGCGGUGGAGCAUGUGGUUUAAUUCGAUGCAACGCGAAGAACCUUACCUACUCUUGACAUCCAGAGAAUUCGCUAGAGAUAGCUUAGUGCCUUCGGGAACUCUGAGACAGGUGCUGCAUGGCUGUCGUCAGCUCGUGUUGUGAAAUGUUGGGUUAAGUCCCGCAACGAGCGCAACCCUUAUCCUUGUUUGCCAGCACGUAAUGGUGGGAACUCCAGGGAGACUGCCGGUGAUAAACCGGAGGAAGGUGGGGACGACGUCAAGUCAUCAUGGCCCUUACGAGUAGGGCUACACACGUGCUACAAUGGCGUAUACAGAGGGCUGCAAGCUAGCGAUAGUAAGCGAAUCCCACAAAGUACGUCGUAGUCCGGAUUGGAGUCUGCAACUCGACUCCAUGAAGUCGGAAUCGCUAGUAAUCGUGAAUCAGAAUGUCACGGUGAAUACGUUCCCGGGCCUUGUACACACCGCCCGUCACACCAUGGGAGUGGGCUGCACCAGAAGUAGAUAGCUUAACCUUCGGGAGGGCG